UAGGUAGUACAGACUGGACAUAAUUGGCAGAGGAAGAAAGAGGAGAAGGAAUAGAAUCAAACCAGAGAGAGAGGACCCAUACUGGCUUAAAAAGCUAAUUUUGUCAAAGUAUCUUGAAGCUGUAUUUACUUCAGUGUUGAUCCACAAGCACUCUCUCAGCCUCCAGAUAGUGAUGCUGGCUAUGGCUUUGUGAGUAAAAGCAACUGAACGAGAAAUCUGUUCUGGUUCUAAAUAUGAAUCAAAGUGGCAAGACCCAGACCAUCUUAUCUAUUUAAAUGGAAGAUUGUUUUGAAAGAUUUUGCUUUUAGUUUGAGACUUAACCUCAAAGAAACAGAAUUAAUAGAAGAAGGAAAUGAUCCUGGGAGAUCCUCAAUGCAGUAAUGAAUUCAACAUUCUUCAAUCGAAUUUAAAAUUUAAUUAUAGCCUACUUACCUGUGGUGACUCUGGAUUCUGUAUAACUGAUUUGUUGUCACAGGAGAGAGUCAUGCAAACUACAGAAAUCCACCCAAAACCUAGAGAAGGAGAAUAUCUGUUUUCAGAGGAGCUGUCUGCUUUGGGGGGAAGUUCCAGAAGCAAGCCUCAGGAAUUACAACAUUAUGAGAAACUGAAUGAUUAAAAUUGUAGUUACAAAUA
This 633-nucleotide long non-coding RNA is filed under the name Pongo abelii (Sumatran orangutan). RNAcentral describes it as "lincRNA". Lineage: Eukaryota; Metazoa; Chordata; Mammalia; Primates; Hominidae. The record is from RNAcentral.